UGCCAACUCCUCUUUUCACACAGGG
This 25-nucleotide non-coding RNA is filed under the name Mus musculus (house mouse). Lineage: Eukaryota; Metazoa; Chordata; Mammalia; Rodentia; Muridae. The record is from RNAcentral.